ACUCUUGAGCAAUGGGCGAAAGCCUGACGCAGCGACGCCGCGUGAGUGAGGAAGGCCUUCGGGUUGUAAAACUCUGUCCUCAGGGAAGAAGCAAGUGACGGUACCUGAGGAGGAAGCCCCGGCUAACUACGUGCCAGCAGCCGCGGUAAUACGUAGGGGGCGUGCGUUGUCCGGAAGCAAUGGGCGUAAAGGGUGCGUAGGCGGCCUUUUAAGUAAGGUGUGAAAGACCACAGCUUAACUGUGGGGUUGCAUUUGAAAAUGGAAGGCUUGAGUAUCGGAGAGGGUAGUGGAAUUCCCGGUGUAGCGGUGAAAUGCGUAGAUAUCGGGAGGAACAACAGUGGCGAAGGCGACUACCUGGACGAAAACUGACGCUGAGGCACGAAAGCUAGGGUAGCAAAC
This 399-nucleotide ribosomal RNA is filed under the name uncultured bacterium. RNAcentral describes it as "partial 16S ribosomal RNA". It matches the Rfam family "Bacterial small subunit ribosomal RNA", at positions 360 to 773 of the family's 1533-position model. The record is from RNAcentral.